CUGCCUGGCUUGGGCAGCACAAAUAUUAAACUUGUAAAAAUACAGGGAAUAUUAGUAUGGCCUCUGCCAAGGAUGACCUGCAAAUCCGUGCUCUAUAUCUUU
Molecule: small nuclear RNA, 102 nt
Organism: Pteronotus mesoamericanus
Lineage: Eukaryota; Metazoa; Chordata; Mammalia; Chiroptera; Mormoopidae
Source: RefSeq, a predicted model, not a curated record